GCGGGAUUAGUUUAAUGGUAGAACAGUCGUUUUCCAAACCUCUGACAGGAGUUCGAUUCUCCUAUCUCGCUCCA
Molecule: transfer RNA, 74 nt
Filed under: compost metagenome
Description: tRNA-Gly
Rfam family: tRNA
About the family: Transfer RNA (tRNA) molecules are approximately 80 nucleotides in length. Their secondary structure includes four short double-helical elements and three loops (D, anti-codon, and T loops). Further hydrogen bonds mediate the characteristic L-shaped molecular structure. tRNAs have two regions of fundamental functional importance: the anti-codon, which is responsible for specific mRNA codon recognition, and the 3' end, to which the tRNAs corresponding amino acid is attached (by aminoacyl-tRNA synthetases). tRNAs cope with the degeneracy of the genetic code in two manners: having more than one tRNA (with a specific anti-codon) for a particular amino acid; and 'wobble' base-pairing, i.e. permitting non-standard base-pairing at the 3rd anti-codon position.
Source: RNAcentral